GGUAGAGCUAGGAUCCACCCCUUCCCAGACCUCAUUUAAGGGUUGGCAGUGGAUGUGAAGGUCUCUCAUCAGGAGGCCCCUGCUUUCCUGAGGAUUUUGCAGGCCUUCUGAAGAUGAGGAGACUGCAGAACAAAAUUCAUAUUCCAAACUGAGUUCUUCUGUCCCCCUCCUUUCUCACAGAACAUUACAUGGGAACCUUCCAUAGGUUAUCUCUGGGGUCUCUUGAAAGCUUUGGAAUGAAGAGAAUCCAGUGGAAAGAGCCAUGAUAACAUAAACCACCUUAAGAAUGUUAUAUAAAUGACUCUCUGGACCAUUUUGGAGAAGUUUCUUUGGUUGAAUAUACAGCAACCUAAGGAAUGCACUCUAUCCCUAAACUAAUCUCCAGCUCUGCAACAUAACCCAGACUGCUAAGGAAGAUGACAUGAUCCUUGACUGAUCAGCACCGGCAAGACUAAGUUCUGAUCUCUACGCUGCUCAUGUGAUCUUCCAACCUCACACACUAUCCUGCUAGUUCUCAAAUCCACCUCACUGAUUUCAUAGAAGAACAGAAUAAACGGGGAGAUGCCAGAUGAAAUCUUUAUAUAGUACUGCUUCUGUAAAGAUGCUUAAAAAAUCUGAAUGAAGAAAAAUAUGAUGCAAAAAUAAAACAAUGUGUGUGAUAUGCAAAUAGAUCUCUUAAUUUUGUAAAGAUUAAGGAUGGCCUACUAAAACUCGCAGAAAUGCUGCUGGUGAUUGAAUCCUCAUCUGUGCAAAAUUUAAGUAAAGCUAUUCAAUGUAGACAGAACAUAUGUCUAUCUUGUAAACAAAAUACAACCUGACAAUCAUUUAGUAUUCUCAUUCUCCUCAAAGGAAUUGCUGUGCUUGCUGUUGCUAAGCAUUGUUUGAAGUUAGAGUGCUUGAUUUGAUGUCUAUAUAUGUCUGGUCAUCAAUAUAUAUGACUUAGUAAAAGGAAUAAUUUGGUUUAGCUGUUUCAAGUUGUUCUGAUAUAUGGCUGAUGUCUGGGUAACUUUUAUCUGUUCUUAAAGACACCACUUUGAUUUAUCACUAACUGAAGUGGGUACAAACACACUGGAGAAAACUCAUUUAUUUCUGACAAGGGCUUGUAGAGCAAAUUAAAGGGAAAGAAAAGCAAGCAUAUUAUGAAAUACAUCUUUAAGUGUUUUUUAUGAAAUAAAAUUUCAAUUAAAAUUCUGGAAACAAAUUAUGCAGUUGCAUAUUGACUACACAGAUUAAAGAUCUUUUUCUGUAUCAAUUGAUUAUGAAUUUGACAGUAGCUCCAUGGUGGUUCUCUUUUGACUGGUGGAAUUAUAGCCAGUGUUGUAGAAAAGAUUUGAACAUCAGCAAAAAGUAUUGUUUUAAUGAAAUUAUGACUGUCAAAUGGGAGGUGCUUCAGCAUGGAU
This is a long non-coding RNA of Numida meleagris (helmeted guineafowl), 1400 nucleotides long. RefSeq lists it as uncharacterized. The record is from RefSeq and is a predicted model, not a curated record. Lineage: Eukaryota; Metazoa; Chordata; Aves; Galliformes; Numididae. The transcript has 6 exons.